AUUGAACGCUGGCGGCAUGCCUUACACAUGCAAGUCGAACGGUAACAGGUUAAGCUGACGAGUGGCGAACGGGUGAGUAAUGUAUCGGAACGUGCCCAGUCGUGGGGGAUAACUGCUCGAAAGAGCAGCUAAUACCGCAUACGACCUGAGGGUGAAAGCGGGGGAUCGCAAGACCUCGCGCGAUUGGAGCGGCCGAUAUCCGAUUAGGUAGUUGGUAGGGUAAAGGCCUACCAAGCCGACGAUCUGUAGCUGGUCUGAGAGGACGACCAGCCACACUGGGACUGAGACACGGCCCAGACUCCUACGGGAGGCAGCAGUGGGGAAUUUUGGACAAUGGACGCAAGUCUGAUCCAGCCAUGCCGCGUGCGGGAAGAAGGCCUUCGGGUUGUAAACCGCUUUUGUCAGGGAAGAAACGCUCUGGGUUAAUACCUCGGGGUAAUGACGGUACCUGAAGAAUAAGCACCGGCUAACUACGUGCCAGCCGCCGCCGUAA
Molecule: ribosomal RNA, 493 nt
Filed under: uncultured bacterium
Lineage: Bacteria
Description: partial 16S ribosomal RNA
Rfam family: Bacterial small subunit ribosomal RNA
Source: RNAcentral